RNAcentral lists this transfer RNA (96 nucleotides) under Blumeria hordei DH14. Its description in RNAcentral is "tRNA-Ser for anticodon AGA". It matches the Rfam family "tRNA". From Rfam's summary of the family: Transfer RNA (tRNA) molecules are approximately 80 nucleotides in length. Their secondary structure includes four short double-helical elements and three loops (D, anti-codon, and T loops). RNAcentral also lists the same sequence under 1 other name. The record is from Rfam by way of RNAcentral. Lineage: Eukaryota; Fungi; Ascomycota; Leotiomycetes; Helotiales; Erysiphaceae.
GGCAACGUGGCGGAGUGGUUAUCGCGCUAGCCUAGAACUGAUGAUUGUAUCUAGCUAGUUCCUUCGGGAGCGUCAGUUCGAGUCUGGCCGUUGUCG